Molecule: ribosomal RNA, 497 nt
Filed under: uncultured bacterium
Lineage: Bacteria
Description: partial 16S ribosomal RNA
Rfam family: Bacterial small subunit ribosomal RNA
Source: RNAcentral
GAUGAACGCUGGCGGCGUGCCUAAUACAUGCAAGUCGAACGCAUAGCGAAAGGUGCUUGCACCUUUCAAGUGAGUGGCGAACGGGUGAGUAACACGUGGACAACCUGCCUCAAGGCUGGGGAUAACAUUUGGAAACAGAUGCUAAUACCGAAUAAAACUUAGUGUCGCAUGACACAAAGUUAAAAGGCGCUUCGGCGUCACCUAGAGAUGGAUCCGCGGUGCAUUAGUUAGUUGGUGGGGUAAAGGCCUACCAAGACAAUGAUGCAUAGCCGAGUUGAGAGACUGAUCGGCCACAUUGGGACUGAGACACGGCCCAAACUCCUACGGGAGGCUGCAGUAGGGAAUCUUCCACAAUGGGCGAAAGCCUGAUGGAGCAACGCCGCGUGUGUGAUGAAGGCUUUCGGUUCGUAAAGCACUGUUGUAUGGGAAGAACAGCUAGAAUAGGAAAUGAUUUUAGUUUGACGGUACCAUACCAGAAAGGGACGGCUAAAUACGUG